RNAcentral lists this ribosomal RNA (497 nucleotides) under uncultured bacterium. RNAcentral describes it as "partial 16S ribosomal RNA". It matches the Rfam family "Bacterial small subunit ribosomal RNA", at positions 28 to 507 of the family's 1533-position model. The record is from RNAcentral.
GAUGAACGCUGGCGGCGUGCCUAAUACAUGCAAGUCGAGCGAACAGAUAAGGAGCUUGCUCCUUUGACGUUAGCGGCGGACGGGUGAGUAACACGUGGGUAACCUACCUAUAAGACUGGAAUAACUCCGGGAAACCGGGGCUAAUGCCGGAUAACAUUUAGAACCGCAUGGUUCUAAAGUGAAAGAUGGUUUUACUAUCACUUAUAGAUGGACCCGCGCCGUAUUAGCUAGUUGGUAAGGUAACGGCUUACCAAGGCAACGAUACGUAGCCGACCUGAGAGGGUGAUCGGCCACACUGGGACUGAGACACGGUCCAGACUCCUACGGGAGGCAGCAGUAGGGAAUCUUCCGCAAUGGGCGAAAGCCUGACGGAGCAACGCUGCGUGAGUGAUGAAGGUCUUCGGAUCGUAAAACUCUGUUAUUAGGGAAGAACAAAUGUGUAAGUAACUGUGCACGUCUUGACGGUACCUAAUCAGAAAGCCACGGCUAACUACGUG